UACGUAGGGCGCAAGCGUUGUCCGGAAUUAUUGGGCGUAAAGAGCUCGUAGGCGGCUUGUCACGUCGAUUGUGAAAACCCACAGCUUAACUUCGGGCUUGCGGUUGAUACGGGCGGGCUGGAGUUCGGUAGGGGAGACUGGAAUUCCUGGUGUAGCGGUGAAAUGCGCAGAUAUCAGGAGGAACACCGGUGGCGAAGGCGGGUCUCUGGGCCGAUACUGACGCUGAGGAGCGAAAGCGUGGGGAGCGAACAGG
This 253-nucleotide ribosomal RNA is filed under the name uncultured bacterium. RNAcentral's name for it is "partial 16S ribosomal RNA". It matches the Rfam family "Bacterial small subunit ribosomal RNA", at positions 524 to 776 of the family's 1533-position model. The record is from RNAcentral.